GCCAAGGUCGCAUAAUCCGGUAUUGCGCGGGACUGCUAAUCUCGUUCCUUUUGGAGCUGCGGGUUCAAAUCCCGUCUUUGGCG
RNAcentral lists this transfer RNA (83 nucleotides) under Nanoarchaeales archaeon. RNAcentral's name for it is "tRNA-Ser". It matches the Rfam family "tRNA". From Rfam's summary of the family: Transfer RNA (tRNA) molecules are approximately 80 nucleotides in length. Their secondary structure includes four short double-helical elements and three loops (D, anti-codon, and T loops). Lineage: Archaea; Nanobdellati; Nanobdellota; Candidatus Nanoarchaeia; Nanoarchaeales. The record is from RNAcentral.